Molecule: ribosomal RNA, 504 nt
Filed under: uncultured bacterium
Lineage: Bacteria
Description: partial 16S ribosomal RNA
Rfam family: Bacterial small subunit ribosomal RNA
Source: RNAcentral
AUUGAACGCUGGCGGCAGGCCUAACACAUGCAAGUCGAACGGUAGCACAGAGAGCUUGCUCUCGGGUGACGAGUGGCGGACGGGUGAGUAACGUCUGGGAAAUUGCCCGAUGGAGGGGGAUAACUACUGGAAACGGUAGCUAAUACCGCAUAACGUCGCAAGACCAAAGUGGGGGACCUUCGGGCCUCACACCAUCGGAUGUGCCCAGAUGGGAUUAGCUAGUAGGUGGGGUAAUGGCUCACCUAGGCGACGAUCCCUAGCUGGUCAGAGAGGAUGACCAGCCACACUGGAACUGAGACACGGUCCAGACUCCUACGGGAGGCAGCAGUGGGGAAUAUUGCACAAUGGGCGCAAGCCUGAUGCAGCCAUGCCGCGUGUAUGAAGAAGGCCUUCGGGUUGUAAAGUACUUUCAGCGGGGAGGAAGGCGGUGAAGUUAAUAACUUCACCGAUUGACGUUACCCGCAGAAGAAGCACCGGCUAACUCCGUGCCAGCCGCCGCAGUAA